This 150-nucleotide unclassified non-coding RNA is filed under the name soil metagenome. RNAcentral describes it as "partial internal transcribed spacer 1". The record is from RNAcentral.
CCGAGUUAUACAACUCAUCAACCCUGUGAACAUACCUAUAAUGUUGCCUCGGCGGGAACAGACGGCCCCGUAACACGGGCCGCCCCCGCCAGAGGACCCCCUAACUCUGUUUCUAUAAUGUUUCUUCUGAGUAAACAAGCAAAUAAAUUA